RNAcentral lists this long non-coding RNA (3535 nucleotides) under Salmo salar (Atlantic salmon). RNAcentral describes it as "lncRNA (ENSSSAG00000093912.1)". The record is from RNAcentral. Lineage: Eukaryota; Metazoa; Chordata; Actinopteri; Salmoniformes; Salmonidae.
CCGGAAUCGGCGCAGCCAGAGUCGCCCUACAGUCCGGAAUCGGCGCAGCCAGAGUCGCCCUACAGUCCGGAAUCGGCGCAGCCAGAGUCGCCCUACAGUCCGGAAUCGGCGCAGCCAGAGUCGCCCUAGAUCAAGCGACAGUAGGAUAGAGACAGACAGAUAGAACUUGCUACAUUGUGAUAGAGACAGACAGAUAGAACCAGCAACAGUGGGAUUGAGACAGACAGAUAGAUCAAGCGACACUAGAAUAGAGACAGACAGACAGACAGAACAAGCUAAAGUGGGAUAGAGACAGACAGAUAGAAGGAGCUACAGUGGGAUAGAGACAGACAGAAAUAACCAGCGACAGUGGGAUUGAGACAGACAGAUAGAUCAAGCGACAGUAGAAUAGAGACAGACAGACAGACAGAACGAGCUAAAGUGGGAUAGAGACAGACAGAUAGAACCAGCGACUGUGGGAUAGAUACGGACACCCAGAACCAGCGACAGUGGGAUAGAGACAGACAGAAAUAACCAGUAACAGAUGGAUAGAACCAGCUAAAGUGGGAUAGAGACGGACAGACAGAACAAGUGACAGUGGGAUAGAGACAGACAGAUAGGACCAGGGACAGUGGGAUAGAGACAGACGGAUAGAACCAGUGACAGUGGGAUAGAGACAGACAGAUAGAACCAGUGACAGUGGGAUAGAGACGGACAGACAGAACAAGUGACAGUGGGAUAGAGACAGACAGAUAGAACCAGUGACAGUGGGAUAGAGACAGACAGAUAGGACCAGUGACAGUGGGAUAGAGACGGACAGAUAGAACCUGUGACAUUGGGAUAGAGACAGACACAUAGAACGAGCAAUGGUGGGAUAGAGAUAGACAGGUAGAAGGAGCAACAGUGGGAUAGAGACAGACAGAAAUAACCAGCGACAGUGUUAUAGAGACAGACAGGUAGAUCAUGCGACAGUAGGAUAGAGACAGACAGAUAGAACCAGCAACAUUGGGAUUGAGACAGACAGAUAGAUCAAGCGACACUAGGAUAGAGACAGACAGAAAGAACCAGCGACAGUGGGAUAGAUACGGACAGACAGAACCAGUGACAGUGGGAUAGAGACAGACAGAAUGAGCUAAAGUGGGAUAGAGACAGACAGAUAGAACCAGCGACUGUGGGAUAGAUACGGACAGACAGAACCAGUGACAGUGGGAUAGAGACAGACAGAACGAGCUAAAGUGGGAUAGAGACAGACAGAUAGAACCAGCGACUGUGGGAUAGAUACGGACAGACAGAACCAGUGACAGUGGGAUAGAGACAGACAGACAGAACCAGCAACAGAGCGAUUGAGACAGACAGAUAGAACCAGCGACAGUGGUAUAGAAACAGACAGAUGUAACCUGCGACAGUGAGACAGAGACAGACAGAGAGUACCAGCGACAGUGGGACAGAGACAGACAGAUAGUACCAGCGACAGUGGGACAGAGACAGACAGAUAGUACCAGCGACAGUGGGACAGAGACAGACAGAUAGUACCAGCGACAGUGGGAUAGAGACAGACAGAUAGUACCAGCGACAGGGGAUAGAGACAGACGGACAGAACCAGUGAAAGUGGGAUAGAAACAUACAGUUAAAACCAGCGGCAAUGGGAUAGAGACAGACAGAUGCAACCAGUGACAGUGGGAUAGAGAGAGACAAAUAGAACAAGCAACAGUGGCAUACAGACAGACAGAUCGAACCAGCGGCAGUGGGAUACAGACAGACAGACAGACAGACAGACAGACAGACAGACAGACAGACAGACAGACAGACAGACAGACAGACAGACAGACAGACAGACAGACAGACAGACAGACAGACAGAGCAAAAGUGGGAUAGAGACAGACAGACAGAACCAGCGACAGUUGGAAAUAGACAGAUAGAACCUGUGACAGUGGGUUAGAGACAGAUAGAACCAGUGACAGUAGGAUAGAGACAGAUAGAACCUGCGACAGUGGGUUAGAGACAGAUAGAACCUGCGACAGUGGGUUAGAGACAGAUAGAACCUGUGACAGUGGGUUAGAGACAGAUAGAACCAGUGACAGUAGGAUAGAGACAGAUAGAACCUGCGACAGUGGGUUAGAGACAGACAGAUAGAACCGGUGACAGUAGGAUAGAGACAGAAAUAUUGAAGGAGCGACAGUGGGAUAGAGACAGACAGAUAGUACCAGCGACAGUGGGAUAGAGACAGACAGAGAUAACCAGUGACAGUCGGAUAGAGACAGACAGAUAGAACCAGCGACAGUGGGAUAGAGACAGACGGAUAGAACCAGCGACAGUGGGAUAGGGACAGACAGGUAAUACCAGCGACAGUGGGAUAGAGACAGACAGACAUAUAGAACCAGCGACAGUGGGAUAGAGACAGACAGAAAGAGUGAGAGAAGGAUAGAGAAAGAGCUAUAGAAAACGAGGGAUAGCAAGUGUGAGAUAUAGAGAGAGGGAUAGUGAGUAACAGAGAGAAAAGAGAGGAAAAUCAAUGUUCUAACAUAAAUGAAUGAAAUCCAAAUGGAUGUGUCAUGGUAGCACAUUAUUUGCCACUGCAGCCCAGCAGAGAGUAGAGACAAACAAUAGGUCACACUGCACAACCAUCUUUACAUUUGUCUAAUACUGUCAUGCAUCACCCCCUCCUGCAACAAGACUACGCAGGCUUCACACACAGCUUGUGUGAGAGAGUCGGCAAUAGACACGCCAUUUGACAAUGCAUCGCACGCCUCUGCUGACGUUGCACCAGAGGGUUUUUUUCUGCUACCACGCUCUCCGUACCUCAUCCCUCAGCGAGCCACCCUGGAAAGAACACUCCACGGGUGUGAGCGGUGUGAGCGAGAGGCAGGGGGAGGCUAAUCUGUUCCUUUCCCUUCUGAGUCUUGGCUUUGUGUUCAGGGAAAAGAGGAGGGAGCGAGGGAUUGGAGGGAGAGGGGGUGUGGGGAAUCUGAAGAGGGCUACAGUAGUACAUGAAUGCUGCACAACAGAUGAAAUGGAUUGCUAGAGCUUUGGACAUGGUUGUGGUUUCCGCUAUCUUGUUUUGUUUUUUUUGCAUUAUGUCAACAUGGUGGAGAUAUGCGUUUGCUGUUAUACUGUGGUCAAUGUCAAUCACAGUCUGUAUGAAAAAUAUUAGAUGUUUACAUUUUAAUUACACACUUCAGAAACCUUUUGUCUACUAUUGUUCUGUUGGGUGUAUUUCUGCGUAUAUUAGCAUAUUAGCCAAUAGUUUAUAUUAUUAGAAAGAUUACUUGGGGGAUGUUAUCAUUGCAACUAAGGAGAGGCAGACGACCUUCCUGUCUGCUACCUUCUGGAGUCUGAUGCCCUGUCUGGAGUCUAGACCGUUUGUAAUGGAAAUAUCUUGUGCAUUUUAAAUUCACUUUUGGAAAGUCCAUUGUCAAAUCCCGGAAGAGAUGGAUUGGAUGCCAACACAAUAAUAAUAAAGGUACCCAUACAAUGCGUAACAAAAGUUAGACAAAUACAAUGCUACCAUAGCCUCUCAACAACUGUGAUCUGUGCUGCAGAUAAAACAAAGUUAAGC